RNAcentral lists this ribosomal RNA (905 nucleotides) under uncultured bacterium. Its description in RNAcentral is "bacterial SSU rRNA". It matches the Rfam family "Bacterial small subunit ribosomal RNA", at positions 8 to 892 of the family's 1533-position model. The record is from RNAcentral.
AGAGUUUGAUCCUGGCUCAGAAUCAACGCUGGCGGCGUGCCUAACACAUGCAAGUCGAACGCGAAAGGGGCUUCGGCCCUGAGUAGAGUGGCAGACGGGUGAGUAACGCGUGGAUGACCUGCCCUUGAGCGGGGGAUAACGUCUCGAAAGGGACGCUAAUACCGCAUGAUGUCCCGCCUUUGAAGAGGUGGAGACCAAAGCUGGGGACCGCAAGGCCUGGCACUCAAGGAGGGGUCCGCGUCCGAUUAGCUAGUUGGUGAGGUAACGGCUCACCAAGGCUCCGAUCGGUAGCCGGCCUGAGAGGGCGGACGGCCACACUGGGACUGAGACACGGCCCAGACUCCUACGGGAGGCAGCAGUGGGGAAUUGUUCGCAAUGGGCGAAAGCCUGACGACGCAACGCCGCGUGGAGGAUGAAGAUUUUCGGAUCGUAAACUCCUGUCGAAUGGGACGAAUGGCCUGGCCGUAAACAACGGUCGGGAAUGACGGUACCGUGAGAGGAAGCCCCGGCUAACUCCGUGCCAGCAGCCGCGGUAAUACGGGGGGGGCGAGCGUUGUUCGGAAUUACUGGGCGUAAAGGGCUCGUAGGCGGCUAACUAAGUCAGACGUGAAAUCUCUCGGCUUAACCGGGGAACUGCGUCUGAUACUGGAUGGCUUGAAUCCGGGAGAGGGAUGUGGAAUUCCAGGUGUAGCGGUGAAAUGCGUAGAUAUCUGGAGGAACACCGGUGGCGAACGCGGCAUCCUGCACCGGUAUUGACGCUGAGGAGCGAAAGCCAGGGGAGCAAACGGGAUUAGAUACCUCGGUAGUCCUGGUCCUAAACGAUGAGUGCUUGGUGUGGCGGGUAUCGAUUCUCGCCGUGCCGAAGCUAACGCGUUAAGCACUCCGCUGGGGAGUACGAUCGCAAG